Alosa alosa (allis shad) is the source of this 195-nucleotide long non-coding RNA. RefSeq lists it as uncharacterized. The record is from RefSeq and is a predicted model, not a curated record. NCBI's taxonomy places the organism in Eukaryota, Metazoa, Chordata, Actinopteri, Clupeiformes, Clupeidae. The transcript has 3 exons.
UCUGUGAGAGAAGGAGAAAAAAGAGAAGUGCUAAGGUUUUCACUUUUCUUACGGAGGCAGCCAGUCCAGUCCAUGCUGAAGCGAACACCUGUGGGUCCGCGUGUGGGCGUUGAGCUACCAGGAAAGGCUGGCACACCCAGAAGUGCCUUUCCCUUCCUGACGAGGCUGCUGCUGCUGCUGCUUGGACCUGCUUAU